AGGACGAACGCUGGCGGCGUGCUUAACACAUGCAAGUCGAACGAUGAAAUUCUGACGGAGACUUCGGUCAACUGAGGGAUGGAUUAGUGGCGGACGGGUGAGUAACGCGUGGGCAACCUGCCUUUCAGAGUGGAAUAACAUUUGGAAACGAAUGGUAAUACCGCAUAAUGUCAUGGAACCACAUGGUUCUAUGACCAAAGGAGCAAUCCGCUGAAAGAUGGGCUCGCGUCCGAUUAGCUAGUUGGAGAGGUAACGGCUCCCCAAGGCGACGAUCGGUAGCCGGACUGAGAGGUUGAACGGCCACAUUGGGACUGAGACACGGCCCAGACUCCUACGGGAGGCAGCAGUGGGGAAUAUUGCACAAUGGGGGAAACCCUGAUGCAGCAACGCCGCGUGAAGGAUGAAGGUUUUCGGAUCGUAAACUUCUAUCAACAGGGAAGAAUAAUGACGGUACCUGAAUAAGAAGCCCCGGCUAACUACGUG
This 483-nucleotide ribosomal RNA is filed under the name uncultured bacterium. Its description in RNAcentral is "bacterial SSU rRNA". It matches the Rfam family "Bacterial small subunit ribosomal RNA", at positions 26 to 507 of the family's 1533-position model. The record is from RNAcentral.